Non-coding RNA from Pelodiscus sinensis (Chinese soft-shelled turtle), 2052 nucleotides. Lineage: Eukaryota; Metazoa; Chordata; Testudines; Trionychidae. The record is from RefSeq and is a predicted model, not a curated record.
GCUGUGACUCACCAUCCUGUGCUGCUUGUGGGUCAGGCUUUGGGGAGUGGGAUACACCAGCUGGGAGCAUGGUAUGGGGGAGCUGCUCCGGCAGCGCAAUGGCCUUGCCUCCGGCUGGCUCAGUGCUACCUGCUCUCUCCUCUGUUGAAUUAUAAAAAUUCAGCUCAGUGCAUGUUGCUCCAUCUUUCUCUUCAUCUUAGUGCUUCCUGAUGCUCGUACUGGGCUGAGGGUGGGAGUGGGGCCUGAGAGCAGGUCCGAGCUGUGGAGGCACAGAGGUGCUGUAAGAGGGGACUGCAGAGUGUGUGUGUGUGUGGGAGGGGGGGGCAUUUGAACACAGGAUAAGGAGCCCUGGCGUCAGAGGUGCAGAGAUUGGGGGGUAGGAUUCUCGCUGGCGCACUUGGCUGAAGGAGCCCAAUAGAGGCCCUGGCAUGUACAAUGAGUAAACAAAGCUUUUGGGGCUCUUUUACUGUUUAAUUUUGAUUUUUUUUUUGUUUUGUUUAACAUCAAUGCUGGUAUGUAUAUCUCUGGACAUCACGCACACUCCCCUCCAGACCUGCCCCAACAUUGCUGAGUGCUGGAAAGUGAAACUACCCCGGUUCCCCAGCCCAGAGGCAGCUAUGGCUGCAGAGAGCCCCGUGGAAAGUCUUCGGGAGGAACCGCUGUGUCCCGUCUGUUUGGAGGAUUUUACAGCCCCAGUCUCUCUGGAGUGUGGACACAAUUUCUGCCAGGCUCCCCUCAGCUGUCAGUGCAGAGACACUGAGCAGCAUGGACCCAACCGUCAGCUGGCAAACAUGGUAGAACUAGCCAAGCCACUGAGUUUCCAGGCAGCAGAGAGAGCAAGAUGUAUGGGGACCACCAGAAGGCUCUGAAGCUGUUCUGUGAAGAGGAUCAAACUCCUAUCUGGGUGGUGUGUGACAGAUCCCAGGUUCACACAGUGGUGCCCAUACAGGAAGCCUCCACAGGAGUACAAGGAAAAAUUGGAGACCCAUUUGAAGACCCUGAGGGAAGAGAGAAAAAAGCUGCUGAGAAGUAAAAUGAAAGCAGAGGGGAAAAGCCAGGAGUAUCUGAAACAGACACAAGCAGAGAGGCAGAGAAGAUUGUGGCUGAGUUUCAGCAUCUGUGGCAGUUUCUGGAGGAACAAGAGGAAUUCCUGCUUACUCAGCUGCAGAAGCUGGAUGAGGAGAUUGGGAGGCUUCAGACUGACACUGUCAGGAGACUUUCCAUGCAGAUUUCCUAUCUCAUUGUGCUGUGCAGUGAGCUGGAGGGGAAGAGUCAGAAGCCAGUGAGUGAAUUCCUACAAGUGAGACUGAGGAAGAAACAUCCUAGCUCACCACACAGGGAAGGGAGGCUCCUGAAUCACAAGUGCUGGGGUCCAGCUAUCAGAUCUUGGUGUAACACCUUGUGCAUUGCUGACAUAGUUACUACACCAUCUCCCAGACAGCAAGAAACCACUUCUGAAAGCAAUAGUACAAGAUGCAUACGCAUCAUGUAGCACUGCACUGCAGAUUGCCAUGGACGUGGCUGACACAGCUGCUCGAGCCACUGCUACGGGCAUCGAAGUGAGAAGAUCGUCAUGGCUUUCAUCCGCAGGAGCACCAAGAGAGUUACAAAGCAAGGUUGAGGAUCUGCCUUUUGAUAUGCUUAAGCUUUUUGUGACAAACACCGAUGAAGACCUUCACUCAGGCAAAGAUUCCUGCACCACCCUACGUACACUGGGGAUGUACACGCCUCCCUUCAGAUGUAGGCACUAUUAUCCUUAUCAGUGGAGAUAUGAUUUUAAUUUCCCGAGACAGCAAAUGCGUACUGUGGAGAACCAACGCCCUAGGCAAUGUCCUCAACGAAAACGACCCCAACAAAACUGUUUGUCCAAUUAAUCUUCAGCCAAACAGCAGAUUUGAUGCCUUCCAUAGUCAACGCGGAAUACAAAGAUCUGCACCUCUUAUGUUAUACCAAAUAAAAGCAAGCAGGAUCUUAUGAGGGGGAUAAGGCAAAAAGCCACAUUUAUUGUAAAGAUAAUAAAAAAAUAAAGAAAAGAUAGAAGCAAACAACGUU